UCCUACGGGAGGCAGCAGUCUACGGGAAGGCAGCAGUUCUACGAGAAGGCCCAGGUUGUAAAGCACUUUCAAUUGUGAGGAAGGUCUUGGGGUUAAUACCCCCGAGUCUUGACGUUAACUUUAGAAGAAGCACCGGCUAACUCUGUGCCAGCAGCCGCGGUAAUA
RNAcentral lists this ribosomal RNA (165 nucleotides) under bacterium enrichment culture clone 4/04bandO. RNAcentral describes it as "partial 16S ribosomal RNA". It matches the Rfam family "Bacterial small subunit ribosomal RNA", at positions 337 to 525 of the family's 1533-position model. The record is from RNAcentral.